This 242-nucleotide ribosomal RNA is filed under the name uncultured Anaerolineaceae bacterium. RNAcentral's name for it is "partial 16S ribosomal RNA". It matches the Rfam family "Bacterial small subunit ribosomal RNA", at positions 1144 to 1382 of the family's 1533-position model. The record is from RNAcentral. Lineage: Bacteria; Bacillati; Chloroflexota; Anaerolineae; Anaerolineales; Anaerolineaceae.
GGGAACUGCCGGUCAUAAACCGGAGGAAGGUGGGGAUGACGUCAAGUCAGCAUGGCCUUUAUAUCCUGGGGCUACACACACGCUACAAUGGGAAGGGACAAUAGGUUGCGAAGCCGCGAGGCGGAGCCAAUCCAGCAAAACUUCCCUCAGUUCAGAUUGCAGGCUGCAACUCGCCUGCAUGAAGUUGGAGUUGCUAGUAAACGCAGGUCAGCCAUACUGCGUUGAAUACGUUCCCGGGGCUU